AUCAGUAGUAUAUAUCAAAUUGAAGUUCACAUGCAUUUUAAAAAGUUGAGUAGUCUCUAUAUUCUUUAAAAAAGUCAUUUUUCGUAUAACUGCCCAAAAUUAUAAUGAUUAUAUGCUCGACGUAACAUGCAACACUAUUUUGUAAUGUUUUAAGGACAUCUCAUUGCCAAUGCUUAAAAAGUUUUGAGACAAACAAGUGGAGAUCAUCAAGAGUUCAAGGUCGGGAACACCCAAUUUUUUAUCUCUUGAGGUUGAAGUUAAUGAUCUACAGUCAGCCAUUUCACAGUAUAUACAAUCGAGGGCUGCUAAGUUUUUCCAAGCCUCCCUUGACAGAAAUACGCGCUAUGCGAUUUCACGAACUGUAAAAGAUUCAUCUUCUACAAAAGCAUGGCUUGAGAAGAUGAAAACCCUUUUCAUCAGUAAAGGGUCUAGGUUUUCAUCCCGUAGUGUCAUAACAGGUGACCCGUAUAGAGGUGUGGGUGAUAUUGGCAUCCCAUAUGAGAUAACCUUGAUGAGAACAUUCAAAGAAUGGGUCACAGAGCACAACAUGAAAUUUCUUCAAUAGUCAAUUGAUGACAAACUAUGCUUACUCUACACAGUUGAUGAAAUAUAUAUAUAACAUUAAAAAUUUGUUGUAUAGAUAACAAACAAUAAAGAUUCACUGUAAUGAUAUCUAGCCUUGAAUCAACUGUAUGUAAUGAUAGAUCAUGUUAUAUACUCUAUUAUUCUUAUUAAUUAGAGAUGGCGAUAUUGAACUA
Helianthus annuus (common sunflower) is the source of this 758-nucleotide long non-coding RNA. RefSeq lists it as uncharacterized. The transcript is spliced from 2 exons. Lineage: Eukaryota; Viridiplantae; Streptophyta; Magnoliopsida; Asterales; Asteraceae. The record is from RefSeq and is a predicted model, not a curated record.